GACGAACGCUGGCGGCGUGCUUAACACAUGCGAGUCGAACGGAAAGGCCCUGCUUUUGUGGGGUGCUCGCGUGGCGAACGGGUACGUAACACGUGAGUAACCUGCCCUUGACUUUGGGAUAACUUCACGAAACUAGGGCUAAUACCUGAUAGGACCUCCUGCUGCAUGGUGGGGGUUGGAAAGAUUCGGCGGUUGGGGAUGGACUCGCGGCUCAUCAGCUUGUUGGUGGGGUAGUGGCUUACCAAGGCUUUGACGGGUAGCCGGCCUGAGAGGGUGACCGGCCACAUUGGGACUGAGAUACGGCCCAGACUCCUACGGGAGGCAGCAGGGGGGAAUAUUGCACAAUGGGCGGAAGCCUGAUGCAGCAACGCCGCGUGCGGGAUGACGGCCUUCGGGUGGUAAACCGCUUUCGCCUGUGACGAAGCGUGAGUGACGGUAAUGGGUAAAGAAGCACCGGCUAACUACGUG
RNAcentral lists this ribosomal RNA (468 nucleotides) under uncultured bacterium. RNAcentral's name for it is "partial 16S ribosomal RNA". It matches the Rfam family "Bacterial small subunit ribosomal RNA", at positions 28 to 507 of the family's 1533-position model. The record is from RNAcentral.